CGCACUCUGUAGCUGGGGGUUUCUGGUCACCUGUAAAAGUGAUAUAACCUGCGUCUAGAGGCUCCACACUCACAAACUGAAUCUGUCCCCCACUUCUGUCCACUCUCCGCUGCCCACACCAGCCUGUUGCCUCAGAGGAUGUAAGAGGAACGCCUACGUGCUGAGGUGAAGUGAGGUGAGUGACAUAGGCAUUGUGCAGUGGCAUUAUUCUGCUAUGUGAAGGCUAUCUGAGCACAAGAACUGCUCUAUUUCAAAAGUCAGUUUGAUAACCAAGACUGCCACUAAAUGACUGAUGAAUGAGCAGAGUAUACACUGUGGAUACGCUGGACAGAGGGAUGAUUCAUGUCCUGGAUAGGACAGAUAAUGGCCAUGAGUAACUGAAGCCAUAAAAAGUGAAAGCAGAUAAAGGGGGACUACUAUAGAAGAAGAAAAAAAUCUGGCAAGCAAGAACCCCCUCUCUUUUUGGACACAUAACUGUACACAUAUAUGAGAUGCAUUGUGAUGUGCUGAUUCAUGUAUUCACUGGACAAUGACAAAUUGGGGUAAUCUGCCUACCUAUCUGCUUAUACUUUUAAUAAAAUUUCUUUAUGGUGAAUACAUUCAAAA
Long non-coding RNA from Chinchilla lanigera (long-tailed chinchilla), 606 nucleotides. RefSeq lists it as uncharacterized. The record is from RefSeq and is a predicted model, not a curated record. NCBI's taxonomy places the organism in Eukaryota, Metazoa, Chordata, Mammalia, Rodentia, Chinchillidae. The transcript is spliced from 3 exons.